This is a long non-coding RNA of Mya arenaria, 259 nucleotides long. RefSeq lists it as uncharacterized. The record is from RefSeq and is a predicted model, not a curated record. NCBI's taxonomy places the organism in Eukaryota, Metazoa, Mollusca, Bivalvia, Myida, Myidae. The transcript has 3 exons.
CUCAUGAGGUGUACGAAUAUUGACGAGAGAGAGAGUCAAUUACUCCUCUAGAGACUCGACGGUUCAUAUUUUGAAUAAUACAACAAGGUUUAUGACGGAUGAUGUAAUGCCUAGCUUUAUCGUGAAGGGAAAAAGGAGAAAAUGACUUUCCAAAAGCAGUUUUUCAAGGUGUUCAAGCAAGUGUCACUGUGUUAACUGCUACUGAACAUGAGGUUGAUGGGGCAAUUGGAUCCUGUCUGAAGUACGCUCCAGACAGACA